Molecule: ribosomal RNA, 440 nt
Filed under: uncultured bacterium
Lineage: Bacteria
Description: partial 16S ribosomal RNA
Rfam family: Bacterial small subunit ribosomal RNA
Source: RNAcentral
CCUACGGGAGGCAGCAGUGGGGCAUAUUGCACAAUGGGGGAAACCCUGAUGCAGCGACGCCGCGUGAGUGAAGAAGUAUUUCGGUACGUAAAGCUCUAUCAGCAGGGAAGAAAAUGACGGUACCUGACUAAGAAGCCCCGGCUAACUACGUGCCAGCAGCCGCGGUAAUACGUAGGGGGCAAGCGUUAUCCGGAUUUACUGGGUGUAAAGGGAGCGUAGACGGCAGCGCAAGUCUGGAGUGAAAUCCCAUGGCUUAACCAUGGAACUGCUUUGGAAACUGUGCAGCUAGAGUGCAGGAGAGGUAAGCGGAAUUCCUAGUGUAGCGGUGAAAUGCGUAGAUAUUAGGAGGAACACCAGUGGCGAAGGCGGCUUACUGGACUGUAACUGACGUUGAGGCUCGAAAGCGUGGGGAGCAAACAGGAUUAGAUACCCCAGUAGUC